AAACCCACAGCCAAUCUCUGGUUCCCAUGGCUACGAGUGGUUAGUUAGUGAGACGGGCGGAGACAGACCCUCCUCUCUGCUCUGCUACAGUCUUUAAUGAGGUCCCUUUAACACAAGAGGUCCCCUGUGGUCCCGUGACCCAAACCACAGAAUACUGCUUAGCGUUAACUAUGGUGACAGGUUCUCUGAUCGUUUGGUAGAACCCGUCUCGUCUCCUCUGGGUCUCAACCUAAAAAUAUUUCAAUUGUUGACUUGUGCCAAGGUCCUCCUCUGUUACCCAGAACACACUGCUUCACCCAGACAGCGUCCCAACAGUCUAAAGCAGCUCGUCUUCUCCUCCUUCUCAUCUGAAAGUGUCCUGGUCACCCUGAAAGCUAAUUCCCUCAUCAUAUAUACUCUUUAUACCCGCUUUCACUUGUCCUGUGUUUUUCCUGCGCAGACGAAGGAGGGGUGAGGAGGCGAGAGGAAGAGAAGGGAGGAAGCAUCUUCAGACUAUUGAGAUUCAGCCGGCCUGAAUUCCCUCCAUUAUUCAAACAAUUCAGUUAGCGCUCUUGACAGAUAGCAUUUAGCCAACUGUUAGCUCUAGACAAUUAGCUAACCGUUAGCUCUAGACAAUUAGCUAACCGUUAUCUCUAGACAAUUAGCUAGCUAACCGUUAGCUCUAGACAGACAGCUAGCUAACCGUUAGCUCUAGACAGACAGCUAGCUAACCGUUAGCUCUAGACAGACAUUUAGCUAACCGUUAGCUUAGCGCUCCAGACUACCUAGAAUAUAAAAUAGCAUUUCUCAGACGUAUAGAAAACAUAGUGUAUCUAUAGCAACAUCAUCAAUAGAAAAACCUGCAUGGUUAGUUCCUUCAUGUUAAUAACAUGUAAUACUGGGGAAAGGUAAUGCUGUAUACUUCACUGUGUUAGGCAUCUCUCUACUCAACAUUAGGUUAUACCUUCAUCCCUCUAUGUUCACAGUUGAAGGGAUGAGAGAUGGAGGGAGGGGUAGAGGAGGGGUGGAGGGAGGGAUGGAGGAGGGAUGAAGGGAGGAUGAAGGAGGGAUGAAGGAGGGAUGGAGGGAUGGAAGGAGG
RNAcentral lists this long non-coding RNA (1078 nucleotides) under Salmo salar (Atlantic salmon). RNAcentral describes it as "lncRNA (ENSSSAG00000095055.1)". The record is from RNAcentral. Lineage: Eukaryota; Metazoa; Chordata; Actinopteri; Salmoniformes; Salmonidae.